UCCAGACUCCUACGGGAGGCAGCAGUGGGGAAUAUUGGGCAAUGGGCGCAAGCCUGACCCAGCAACGCCGCGUGAAGGAAGAAGGCUUUCGGGUUGUAAACUUCUUUUAUCAGGGACGAAACAAAUGACGGUACCUGAUGAAUAAGCCACGGCUAACUACGUGCCAGCAGCCGCGGUAAUACGUAGGUGGCAAGCGUUAUCCGGAUUUACUGGGUGUAAAGGGCGUGUAGGCGGGCUUGCAAGUCAGAUGUGAAAUUCCAGGGCUCAACCCUGGAACUGCAUUUGAAACUGUAGGUCUUGAGUGCUGGAGAGGUUGACGGAAUUCCUAGUGUAGCGGUGAAAUGCGUAGAUAUUAGGAGGAACACCAGUGGCGAAGGCGGUCAACUGGACAGCAACUGACGCUGAGGCGCGAAAGCGUGGGGAGCAAACAGGAUUAGAUACCCCAGUAAU
This 450-nucleotide ribosomal RNA is filed under the name uncultured bacterium. RNAcentral describes it as "bacterial SSU rRNA". It matches the Rfam family "Bacterial small subunit ribosomal RNA", at positions 330 to 794 of the family's 1533-position model. The record is from RNAcentral.